GGAGGAGUGGCAGAGUGGUCGAUCGCGGCAGCCUUGAAAGCUGUUGUGGGCGCAAGCCCACCGUGGGUUCGAAUCCUACCUCCUCCGCCA
Molecule: transfer RNA, 90 nt
Filed under: Candidatus Omnitrophota bacterium
Lineage: Bacteria; Pseudomonadati; Candidatus Omnitrophota
Description: tRNA-Ser
Rfam family: tRNA
About the family: Transfer RNA (tRNA) molecules are approximately 80 nucleotides in length. Their secondary structure includes four short double-helical elements and three loops (D, anti-codon, and T loops). Further hydrogen bonds mediate the characteristic L-shaped molecular structure. tRNAs have two regions of fundamental functional importance: the anti-codon, which is responsible for specific mRNA codon recognition, and the 3' end, to which the tRNAs corresponding amino acid is attached (by aminoacyl-tRNA synthetases). tRNAs cope with the degeneracy of the genetic code in two manners: having more than one tRNA (with a specific anti-codon) for a particular amino acid; and 'wobble' base-pairing, i.e. permitting non-standard base-pairing at the 3rd anti-codon position.
Source: RNAcentral